AGGUGGUCGCGGAUAAGAAAUGGAGGGAAGUGGGUUCAGUGUUUAAGUUCUCUCCAACAACAACGAGUGCUUCUUUCGUAUUGAGAAAACACUACUUUGGCCUUCUUUACCAUUAUGAACAAGUUCACUUCUUUAAGGUCCAAGGUCCAGUCUGCUCUCCGACAGUGACAGUUACAUUUCCUGUAAGCAACUCUUUAUGCAGACAUGAAUUGGCUAUUGUGGAAUAUUCCCCCAAACCGAUAAGGGAUUGUCCUGAUCCGCGUACUGAAGGUGAGGUGGUAUUGCCAAUAUCUUCAUUCCAUUGCUUUAAGAGAAAUGUGUGCAAGUGGAUAAAAAGAGUAUUCAGUGAACACCACAAAUGUUUGAUCUAAUUCCAGCCCCAUAAUUUUCUAUUUUUGAGUUAGUUAAAUAGUCUGUUGUGAGAUGUUUGGAAUUAUAGUUAUAGGCAAGACAUUUGACUCUGAAGUCUCUAUUAUUUGAUGUAAAGGUUGAUAUUUUGGCUGUUUCACAAUAUCCCUUUUCUUCUGGUCCCACUACAUUUAUCUUAUAAUUCAGAUAAGUGGCUAUAUAGUCCGUGUCACUCUCAUAUGGUGUCCCUGUUUUGACAUUUUGUUUAUUUGUUGUCUCUAUCUGCGAUUCUCCUGAUAAAAAUCUAUCAAACACCUCGUAUAAUAACAAUUAAGCCUUAAUUUCAAACCAAUUGGGUAGGCCAUAGGAUUGAUGUGCUUAUGUAGCAUUUGAUGAGUCGCAUCAUCCUCACUCACUGGAGCUAUUUUAGAUCUAUACAUUUGGCCAGUGCUAUCCCCUAGUGAUUUACUUUGAUGGGUCUCUCCUCAUUUUUCUGUUUUUGGAGGAUUGCUUAAAUGUAUAGGAGAAACAAAAUGGAGAAAUCCACUGGCUUUAAUUUAGUAUCGAUGAAUAUGAAACUAUUGUUGACAAGAAAUAUCUGCACCUGAGGUCUACAACAUAAUUGCUGUGCUUGGACAAGCUUUCCUUAGCUCAUUCAUCAGCAUCUUAAC
RNAcentral lists this unclassified non-coding RNA (1019 nucleotides) under Hevea brasiliensis (rubber tree). The record is from RNAcentral. Lineage: Eukaryota; Viridiplantae; Streptophyta; Magnoliopsida; Malpighiales; Euphorbiaceae.